This 514-nucleotide long non-coding RNA is filed under the name Zostera marina. RNAcentral's name for it is "long non-coding RNA (ZMAR_LNC002904)". The record is from RNAcentral. Lineage: Eukaryota; Viridiplantae; Streptophyta; Magnoliopsida; Alismatales; Zosteraceae.
UCUUCAAAAACAUUAAUAGUUAAUCUGAUCAGUUAAACUAAUCUUCUUUUAUGACCAGUUGAGUUUUUUUUUUUUAAAUUUGAAACCAGUUGAUAAUUUAUUAAUUUCAAAACGUGAAAAAAUCGUAGACAUGGCUGUUGGCCAUUAGCUUUUUUUGUACAUUAUGGUACUUGAAAAUUGUAUUAGGGUUUGAAAUUUAAUUAUAAAGGGUUGAUCAGGCGGUGGAGCAAUUUAGUGCAGGCUUGACGACACCGAUGAUAGUAGGCUUGACGACGUUCUCACAAGUUGAAUUGGACACUGCUCCUCCGACCUUGUUUUUAAGUUGAAUUUUUUCGAACGAGAGACCUGUGCAUGGAUUUGACUUACUACACAAGAGUGUAAUGGCAACCGGUGUCGCCGACGUUCCUCUGAUGUUGCUGAACUUGACGUCCGAUAUCUUGACGUUUGAAGACACGGAUUUUGGGCAAUUUCCGGCAGGGCAGUACUGUUGAUUAAUGAUGAUAGGAUUCUCAAC